Molecule: long non-coding RNA, 1175 nt
Filed under: Ictidomys tridecemlineatus (thirteen-lined ground squirrel)
Lineage: Eukaryota; Metazoa; Chordata; Mammalia; Rodentia; Sciuridae
Description: lncRNA (ENSSTOG00000033911.1)
Source: RNAcentral
AUAAAUAACGGUCUAUCAACACCCCCCCCCCAAAAAAAGAGACAUUUAUCAGGAGGUAGUUUUUGCCUAAAGAGGUCGCCCACGGCCCCCUUCCUCCCACAGCCCCCACAGCCCCUCAUCUUCUUCAGGCUCCUCCCACGGCCCCCCAUCUUCUCCAGGCUCCUCCCACGCCCCCCCCACCUUCUCCAGGCUCCUUCCAAAGGCUCCUCCCACGGUCCUCCAGUUCCCACAGCUCCACCGCCGGCUGCUCCUACAGCUGCUCCCACCGUUCCAACCACGGGCUCUCCCACGGACUUUCCCACGGGCUUCUUCCAGGGGCUUCCCCCACGUGCGCUUUUCUCGGGCGUCUGCGUAUCGGACGGGGCGCGCGUCCCGCAGAGCACACUGGGAGCGGUAGUUCUGCGCGACAUUCCAUCGCGCAAGCGCUCUCUGCCGAGCCACCCUGCUCUUUGUCCUUCGCUGCCCGGAGGCGUGCUCGCAGGUCGCUGUCUCCUUGGGGCCUCGGUGGCCGGCGCUGGGCUGCGUAUUUCUGCCUCUGGUUGGGCGGCGCGACGAUGUUGGGGGAUCCGGGUGACGAGCCGGCUGAGGGGAGAAUUCGAAGAAGCCUGGAACUGUAGGAUGAAAAUGCAAGUUGCCCCUCCCUUUCAAAGAUGCACGUGAGAGCUGCUAUCACAGGGAGCAAUGUAGUGCUCGCAGGAAACUGCCACGGUGAUAAAAUGAAGCCAAUGAAGUUAAAAUGAGCCACAUUCUGCAGUGAGGGGCUUUAGACUUCUUUUGCUGAGGGGGUAAGUGAGAACAGACUAUCAGAGAGUUAGUUCAGGGAUAACUCCUCCCUCAAGGUCCAACAUUGUAAAUAUUUGUUUCACUUAGUAAAGGCAGGUCUAGAGUCUACAGAGUAACAAAUGUCAGAUCCCUCUCCCCCCAGUACUGGGGGGAUUGAACCCAGAUCCUCAAGUGUUGAAUCUUUUUAUUUGUUAUUUUGAGACAGCAUAUUGCUGAGUUGUCCAGGCUGCCUCAACUUGUGAUCCUCUUGCUUCAGCCUCCUGAGUAGCUGGGAUUACAGGGGUGUGUGACCACACCUAGUUUUAGAAAUAUUUUAAAACUACCCAGAUUGCUUAUCACAUCCCUUUCACCUGAAAUUCUCAAUCUUUGAUAUUCUCUGCAUGAAAUCUAAC